RNAcentral lists this ribosomal RNA (492 nucleotides) under uncultured Alphaproteobacteria bacterium. RNAcentral's name for it is "bacterial SSU rRNA". It matches the Rfam family "Bacterial small subunit ribosomal RNA", at positions 38 to 574 of the family's 1533-position model. Lineage: Bacteria; Pseudomonadati; Pseudomonadota; Alphaproteobacteria. The record is from RNAcentral.
GGCGGCAGGCCUCAAACAUGCAAGUCUAGGGGGUGUAGCAAUACAUCACCGGCGGACGGGUGCGUAACGCGUGGGAAUGUACCUACUGGUUCGGAACAACUGCGGGAAACUGCAGCUAAUACCGAAUGUGCCCGAAAGGGGAAAGAUUUAUCGCCAGUAGAUCAGCCCGCGUAGGAUUAGCUAGUUGGUGGGGUAAUGGCUCACCAAGGCUCCGAUCCUUAGCUGUUCUGAGAGGAAGAUCAGCCACACUGGGACUGAGACACGGCCCAGACUCCUACGGGAGGCAGCAGUUGGGAAUCUUGGACAAUGGGGGAAACCCUGAUCCAGCCAUGCCGCGUGAGUGAUGAAGGCCUUCGGGUUGUAAAACUCUUUCGACGGGGACGAUAAUGACGGUACCCGUAGAAGAAGCUCCGGCUAACUUCGUGCCAGCAGCCGCGGUAAUACGAAGGGGGCUAGCGUUGUUCGGAAUUACUGGGCGUAAAGCGCGCGCAG